This 25-nucleotide non-coding RNA is filed under the name Arabidopsis thaliana (thale cress). Lineage: Eukaryota; Viridiplantae; Streptophyta; Magnoliopsida; Brassicales; Brassicaceae. The record is from RNAcentral.
CUGCACGGGCCUGGCUCAACCCGCC